AGCUGAAUGUGUUCUUUGUGCUCCCUCAUCCUGCGGCCUUCACCAGCUCGGCUGUGUCUUACACAUUUCAGGCUGUGAGACACUCGCUACGCUUCCCUCUUCCCUCGCCCGAGAGCUGCCAAGGAGGGCCUGGGAGGGCCAGCGCUGGAGCAGCUGGAGUGUGGCACCCUGCCAAGCAAAGGCAGCAGCCAGAUAAUCACCAGUUUCGUGAAGUGGUCGCCUUCCUCUUAGACUCUGCAGCCUGUCCAGCUACAUUCUGUCGCCUCUCCCUCCCUCCAAAACCAAGCUGAAAAGUUGCCAGUUAAGAAGUCAGUCUGGAAGCCACUUUACACCGAAGUUGUAUAAUCAGAACUGUUGGUCUUAAGUAUGUGUUUGAGUAAUGUAUUAAACGGCAUUAACACGGACAGUAAAAUG
This 414-nucleotide long non-coding RNA is filed under the name Chinchilla lanigera (long-tailed chinchilla). RNAcentral describes it as "lncRNA (ENSCLAG00000028570.1)". Lineage: Eukaryota; Metazoa; Chordata; Mammalia; Rodentia; Chinchillidae. The record is from RNAcentral.